Daucus carota subsp. sativus is the source of this 798-nucleotide long non-coding RNA. RefSeq lists it as uncharacterized. NCBI's taxonomy places the organism in Eukaryota, Viridiplantae, Streptophyta, Magnoliopsida, Apiales, Apiaceae. The record is from RefSeq and is a predicted model, not a curated record. The transcript is spliced from 2 exons.
AUUCUGGAUUGAUAGGUUCAAUACAUGUCCUAUGUACUCGUCAAUCGUCAAUUAUCAAAUAAACACUACUAGCUACACAUGAAAAUAAAGAGGUUACUUCAUCUAUAAAAGUUACAUUGUUGCUUUUAACUUUUAAGUGAUGGCUUGGUGCAUGUAUAAUGUACAGAAGACUCUUCUCGUGGAAAAAAGGGGAGUACUUUAGAUAGAUAGAUAACGACGAGUGACGCUGUGCAUGUAUAAUGAUAAUACAGAGAACCAACUUUGUAUUUACGACAGAGAUGCCCUACUAUGAUAGUCACUGACUCACUACUCAUUAAGCACUCGCACGGCAGUCAAUAAUUCAACAACAAACAAUUGUUAUAGCGCUAAUUGUUAUUCAUCUCAUGAAUAACUCAGCUUAUAAUUCCAAAAUUACGUGUCUGAAAACCAGGUUCAGUUCUCAGGACGCUGAAAAAUAAGAAGCAAUGGGCGUGAGAGAAGCCCUGAGUUGGGUGAAAAACAAAGGAUGGUAUGAAGCUGUGGUGGAGACUGAUUGUCUUGCUGUCAUACAAGCAAUUAGGUGCUCAAGUAUCACACUAUCAUAUUAUGGUCGUGUUCUGGAAGAGUGCAAGGAGCUCUUAAGUCAAUUAAAGGAGAGGAAUAUAGCCUUGAACUUUGUGAAACGAUCCGCGAACCAGGUUGCUCACUAUUUAGCGAGACACUCUAGUUCUAUAGCUGAUUGUAUGUGGAAAAAGGAAGAUAUUCACCCUGAAUUUUCACAUGUACUUGUGACUGAUUUGAAAGUUUAAUAAAAUGCUU